This 464-nucleotide unclassified non-coding RNA is filed under the name uncultured fungus. RNAcentral's name for it is "partial internal transcribed spacer 1". It matches the Rfam family "Bacterial small subunit ribosomal RNA", at positions 338 to 795 of the family's 1533-position model. The record is from RNAcentral. Lineage: Eukaryota; Fungi.
CCUACGGGGGGCAGCAGUCGAGAAUUUUUCACAAUGGGGGAAACCCUGAUGGAGCGACGCCGCGUGGGGGAUGAAGGGCUUCGGUCCGUAAACCCCUGUCAUUUGCGAACAAACCUCAUUCAUUAACACUGGGUGAGCUGAUUGUAGCAGAAGAGGAAGGGACGGCUAACUCUGUGCCAGCAGCCGCGGUAAUACAGAGGUCCCAAGCGUUGUUCGGAUUCACUGGGCGUAAAGGGUGCGUAGGCGGCGUUUUAAGUCGGGGGUGAAAGCCUGUGGCUCAACCACAGAAUGGCCUUCGAUACUGGGACGCUUGAGUAUGGUAGAGGUUGGUGGAACUGCGAGUGUAGAGGUGAAAUUCGUAGAUAUUCGCAAGAACACCGGUGGCGAAGGCGGCCAACUGGACCAUUACUGACGCUGAGGCGCGAAAGCGUGGGGAGCAAACAGGAUUAGAUACCCGUGUAGUC